Molecule: ribosomal RNA, 218 nt
Filed under: uncultured prokaryote
Description: partial 16S ribosomal RNA
Rfam family: Bacterial small subunit ribosomal RNA
Source: RNAcentral
CCCUACGGGGUGCAGCCGGCGGCGCUUUAAGUCAGAUGUGAAAUACCCGGGCUUAACCCGGGGGGUGCAUUUGAAACUGGAGUGCUUGAGUGCAGGAGAGGAAAGUGGAAUUCCUAGUGUAGCGGUGAAAUGCGUAGAUAUUAGGAGGAACACCAGUGGCGAAGGCGACUUUCUGGACUGUAACUGACGCUGAGGCACGAAAGCGUGGGGAGCAAACA